UACAGAGGGUGCAAGCGUUGUUCGGAAUCACUGGGCGUAAAGCGCGUGUAGGCGGCCCGUUGUGUCGAAUGUGAAAGCCCUCGGCUUAACCGAGGAAGUGCAUUCGAAACUGACGGGCUUGAGUACCGGAGAGGGGGGUGGAAUUCCCGGUGUAGAGGUGAAAUUCGUAGAUAUCGGGAGGAACACCAGUGGCGAAAGCGACCCCCUGGACGGAUACUGACGCUGAGACGCGAAAGCGUGGGGAGCAAACAGG
RNAcentral lists this ribosomal RNA (253 nucleotides) under uncultured bacterium. RNAcentral describes it as "partial 16S ribosomal RNA". It matches the Rfam family "Bacterial small subunit ribosomal RNA", at positions 524 to 776 of the family's 1533-position model. The record is from RNAcentral.